GGUAGGAGAGAGAUCGAUCGACCAACUCUGCUGUAACAAUAAACUGCUUCAACUUGACAACUUCGAAGACCUCAGCCUCUUUUUUGAAACUUAGAAGAUGUUUGACGAGAUCCAGCGCAACUUUCCACAACACAUCCUACUGUUAAAUCAAAUUAAUGGUCAUGGGCGCACCACGUCUAAUCCUCUUUGCCAUUAAAAAGCAUGAGGAAGCAUCUGCAGAUAAACAAAGAUCCAUCCUGGCACAGGUUACUGCAUUUUUUUUGUACAUACAGGUGAACUACCUGGUGAAACUAUCCUUGAAGAGUGACCAUGAAUACAGUUGCAUCAGAAUGACAUAUUUUGUGCCUAGUUUAAAACAGAAAACUAACAAGAAAUCUAAGCUUUGUAACAUCCUUGGUAACAUGAACUUGGUCUCACACAACUAUCAACCAUUUUCUAUAUAUUUUUAUUAUUGCCUAUAAUUAUUAUAUCAUACAUUAAACUCAAGCUAAAAGUUUGAGAAUUACAGAAGGUGAAAGAUAGGUGAGACACUAAAAGGUGUCUAAUGAGGAAUCUAUUUUUAGUGAUUUUAAAGUUAGGCCCACUUAAUUUUAAACAUGGUAAGCACACUGUAAAAAAUUGCUGUUAAAAAACGGUCAGAUUCUACGG
RNAcentral lists this long non-coding RNA (648 nucleotides) under Danio rerio (zebrafish). RNAcentral describes it as "uncharacterized LOC100535657 (LOC100535657)". Lineage: Eukaryota; Metazoa; Chordata; Actinopteri; Cypriniformes; Danionidae. The record is from RNAcentral.